GUGAAAUUCCGUCGGAAUCUGGGAGGACCAUCUCCUAAGGCUAAAUACUCUCUAGUGACCGAUAGUGAACCAGUACCGUGAGGGAAAGGUGAAAAGCACCCCGGAAGGGGAGUGAAAUAGAACCUGAAACCGUGUGCUUACAAGUAGUCAGAGCCCGUUAAUGGGUGAUGGCGUGCCUUUUGUAGAAUGAACCGGCGAGUUACGAUUUGAUGCAAGGUUAAGCAGUAAAUGUGGAGCCGUAGCGAAAGCGAGUCUGAAUAGGGCGUUUAGUAUUUGGUCGUAGACCCGAAACCAGGUGAUCUACCCUUGGUCAGGUUGAAGUUCAGGUAACACUGAAUGGAGGACCGAACCGACUUACGUUGAAAAGUGAGCGGAUGAACUGAGGGUAGCGGAGAAAUUCCAAUCGAACCUGGAGAUAGCUGGUUCUCUCCGAAAUAGCUUUAGGGCUAGCCUCAAGUGAUGAUUAUUGGAGGUAGAGCACUGUUUGGACGAGGGGCCCCUCUCGGGUUACCGAAUUCAGACAAACUCCGAAUGCCAAUUAAUUUAACUUGGGAGUCAGAACAUGGGUGAUAAGGUCCGUGUUCGAAAGGGAAACAGCCCAGACCACCAGCUAAGGUCCCAAAAUAUAUGUUAAGUGGAAAAGGAUGUGGCGUUGCCCAGACAACUAGGAUGUUGGCUUAGAAGCAGCCAUCAUUUAAAGAGUGCGUAAUAGCUCACUAGUCGAGUGACACUGCGCCGAAAAUGUACCGGGGCUAAACAUAUUACCGAAGCUGUGGAUUGUCCUUUGGACAAUGGUAGGAGAGCGUUCU
RNAcentral lists this ribosomal RNA (809 nucleotides) under Staphylococcus aureus. RNAcentral's name for it is "partial 23S ribosomal RNA". It matches the Rfam family "Bacterial large subunit ribosomal RNA", at positions 426 to 1242 of the family's 2925-position model. Lineage: Bacteria; Bacillati; Bacillota; Bacilli; Caryophanales; Staphylococcaceae. The record is from RNAcentral. RNAcentral also lists the same sequence under 1 other name.